This 431-nucleotide ribosomal RNA is filed under the name uncultured bacterium. Its description in RNAcentral is "bacterial SSU rRNA". It matches the Rfam family "Bacterial small subunit ribosomal RNA", at positions 29 to 507 of the family's 1533-position model. The record is from RNAcentral.
AACGAACGCUGGCGGCAGGCUUAACACAUGCAAGUCGAACGCCCCGCAAGGGGAGUGGCAGACGGGUGAGUAACACGUGGGAACGUGCCCAAAGGUACGGAACAACUCCGGGAAACUGGAGCUAAUACCGUAUGUGCCCGAAAGGGGAAAGAUUUAUCGCCUUUGGAUCGGCCCGCGUCUGAUUAGCUAGUUGGUGGGGUAAUGGCCCACCAAGGCGACGAUCAGUAGCUGGUCUGAGAGGAUGAUCAGCCACACUGGGACUGAGACACGGCCCAGACUCCUACGGGAGGCAGCAGUGGGGAAUAUUGGACAAUGGGCGCAAGCCUGAUCCAGCCAUGCCGCGUGAGUGAUGAAGGCCUUAGGGUUGUAAAGCUCUUUUGUCCGGGAGGAUAAUGACCGUACCGGAAGAAUAAGCUCCGGCUAACUUCGUG